AAUGUUCAGGAAGUUCACUGGAAAGUCAAGACAAUUGUAGGUUUUUUUUGAAGGAGCAGCAGUGCAACAGAGCAGCUCUUAACAUGCCAACAGAACAGUGGCAAAGUAAAUGUCAAGAAAUUGAUCCAGGACUUGCCCACAAGGUGGAAUUCAACCCUGUUCAUGUUGGAACGUAUUGUCGAAUUAUCAGAGGCAGUGAAAAUUACAGUUGCCCUUUGUAACAGACCCACAGAUCUUCCGUCACUGUCAAAUGAUGAGUGGGAAAUCUGCUCCGAACUCUGUUUGAUUUUGAAACUGUUUGAGCAGGUUUCGAGGCAGCUCAGUGCAGAGGAGUACCCAACUGGCAGCUUGGUUAUAGUCCUGACACGUGGACUUCUGGCAGUAUGUGACGAAAUAGCCAAAAUGCAGCUACAUGAAGUUUCAAUGAAAGUUGUUGAGGCACUAAAAGAAGGGCUUACAAACCGGUUUUCGAAUAUUGAGCAGAGCAAGUCCAUUGCCCUUGCUACUCUGCUGGAUCCACGUUUCAAAUUGCUGGCAUUUCAGAACCAGGCAGCAGCAGACAACAUGAAGAAACAAUUAAUUAAUAUUGUUGCCCAGAAAAUGGAAAAAUGUAGGCCAGUAGGUAUUCAGCCUUCACAAUCUGUUGAGCCAAAUAAUUUGGCAACUGAGUUCUUCUCUGUGUGGGGCAUAUUUGAUAAGUUAGUGAAACAUGCACAGCCACAGGGCACAGUACAGUCAUGUGCUAUUGUAGAGGUUCAAAGGUACAUUGACAGCUCAGUCAUCAGUAGAAAUUGAGGAUCCUCUGGCAUGGUGGAGGCAAAAUCAAUACACAUACCCAACCAUUGCAAAAGUAGUGAAAGAGAGGUUUAAUGUUGUAGCAACUUCUGUACCUUGUGAGAGGGUCUUCUCAAAAACUGGACAUUUAAUAAAUGACAGAAGAACCCGCCUCAAGCCAUCGAAUUUAGAAAAACUAAUAUUUCUGAAUGCCAAUGGUACCUGUGAUUAGUGCUGUCUUGCAGAAAAUUCUGGACCCGUGUGAGGUUUGCUUCCAUGGAGGUAACUGGGCACUUUCAACACAAGCAAACAAGACCACACAACUGUAUGAUGCCUAGCAAAAUGUAAAAUAUGUAACUGGGCACUUUCAGCACAAGCAAACAAGACCACACAACUGUAUGAUGAUUAGCAAAAUGUAAAAUAUAUACCUUUCACUUACUGCAGGUAUUUCACUUUGGCAUACAUGUGAGUUAAAUCUCUAGCAUCAAAAGAUUGGUAACACAGACCACUGAUAUCACUUCCAAGACUGUGUUUUCUUUGUCAUAUUAGUUUCUGUUUGUUGAAAAACACAGAUUUAGUUUUGUUGAUAUAUGCACGGUAAUGAACAAUUUAACGAGGCAGAGACCACAUAUUUUUAACCAGAAUUUCAUCAUCAUGCACUACUACAUUUAAAUCUUAUAGAUCGUCAACUAUUUGUUCAUUCGUUUGUCCACAGAAAGGUGACAGAGGAACAGGUCAUACUGGGAGCAGUAGGUCUGUGACUUGGAUGGAGCACAGUUACUGAUUUGAUGCCAUUAAGGCACAAAGCUUUGUAAUGAUUAAAAUGGUGAGUGAAUGUAAAUACUGGAAGUGUUAUUUCUUUAUACUAAAACCUGCUACUUUAAGUUAUGUUUCAGAAAUAUCUUGAGCACCUCGACUUGAAAAAUAACAGGAAUACCAUCUAGAAAGUGAGGACAGUCAGUCAAUGAUAAUCCAUGAGCUUAUGCUGAAGGAAAAAAAUUCUAUAUAUGUAAUAAAAGUUGAUUGUAAUGUGUGAUGUUGUAGACAUACAAUAAUCUGUUUUGUGCUAUCUUUUACAUAAUGAAUUUGGUGACACCAUGUGGAUAAAAACUGGAAUGAGCAAAGAAUACCAACCAAGACCCAAAAACCAGAAAGAGCCACGACCAGCUGUGGAACACACGCAAGUUUGAAAAAUUUAUUCCAAAUGCACACUAAUAGUGAUUUUUUUUCUUUUUUCUUUUUGUUGUUGUUGAUUGCAGAUGUACAUAUAUGUUCCUGUCUCC
This 2057-nucleotide long non-coding RNA is filed under the name Schistocerca americana (American grasshopper). Its description in RNAcentral is "uncharacterized LOC124595779". Lineage: Eukaryota; Metazoa; Arthropoda; Insecta; Orthoptera; Acrididae. The record is from RNAcentral.